This 667-nucleotide ribosomal RNA is filed under the name uncultured bacterium. RNAcentral's name for it is "bacterial SSU rRNA". It matches the Rfam family "Bacterial small subunit ribosomal RNA", at positions 364 to 1027 of the family's 1533-position model. The record is from RNAcentral.
UUGAAUGGGGGAACCUGAUCCAGCAUGCCGCGUGUGUGAAGAAGGCCUUCGGGUUGUAAAGCACUUUUGUCAGGAACGAAACGGUGGGGGCUAAUAUCUCCUGCUAAUGACGGUACCUGAAGAAUAAGCACCGGCUAACUACGUGCCAGCAGCCGCGGUAAUACGUAGGGUGCGAGCGUUAAUCGGAAUUACUGGGCGUAAAGCGUGCGCAGGCGGUUGUGCAAGACAGAUGUGAAAUCCCCGGGCUUAACCUGGGAAUUGCAUUUGUGACUGCACGGCUAGAGUGUGUCAGAGGGGGGUAGAAUUCCACGUGUAGCAGUGAAAUGCGUAGAUAUGUGGAGGAAUACCGAUGGCGAAGGCAGCCCCCUGGGAUAACACUGACGCUCAUGCACGAAAGCGUGGGGAGCAAACAGGAUUAGAUACCCUGGUAGUCCACGCCCUAAACGAUGUCGACUAGUUGUUCGGGAAGGAGACUUCUUGAGUAACGUAGCUAACGCGUGAAGUCGACCGCCUGGGGAGUACGGUCGCAAGAUUAAAACUCAAAGGAAUUGACGGGGACCCGCACAAGCGGUGGAUGAUGUGGAUUAAUUCGAUGCAACGCGAAAAAGCUUACCUACCCUUGACAUGCCAGGAAUUCUGCUGAGAGGUGGAAGUGCCCGAAAGGGAC